CCCUGGAAAAACACGUGAAAGCACUUCUGGAGGAUCACAUGAAAUUACAUUCACCAAUUUCCCCAAGGCAAUGGGGCUUUAUGUCGUCACGUUCAACUGUGUCAGCUCUCAUUCAAGUGAUUGAUGACUGGAGCAGGGCUGUCGACGAGGGAUAUGAGGUCUGUAUUGUAUUUUUUUAUGUCAAAAAAGCUUUUGACUCCGUCCCACAUGUUGCUCUUUUGAAGCACCUUCAGUAUAUGCACGUCAAGGAGUACAUUGUUAAGUAGAUGAAAAGUUAUCUACUGGGCAGAGAGCAAUUUGUUGGAAUAGACGGAUGUUCUUCAGCUAGUUUUCUGGAGUUCCUCAAGGCUCGGUCUUAGCCCCCCUACUAUUCAUCUCUUAUAUCAACCUAGUAACAUAAGUUAUAUCACAGGACAGCAACCUCAAAAUGUUUGCAGAUGAUAUGGCCCUGUAUAGAGUCAUCAAGUCUAAUAAUGACUACUAUACUUCAAAAUGAUGUAAAUGCUGUUUCGACCUUCAUGAACUCUAGGCUACUUCAAUUCAAUGUGACAAAACGCAAUUUUAUGUUCGUCUCCAAAAAGACCUCUCACUCAUUGUUGCCUCCAGCUCUACACUUAAAUGGAACCUUGCUGCAACAAGUUCCAAAUUACAAAUAUCUGGGUCUCACAUUAUCUGAUGAUCUCUCCUGGCACCCUCAUAUUACUACCAUUUGUACAAAACAAGAAAACUAAUUGGUCUACUUUAUCGAAGGUUCUCAACCAAUGCAUCUCCAUCCACUCUCUUAAAACUAUAUAUAUAAAAGCUUUGUGAGCUAGGCCACAUAUGGAAUAUGCUUCAGAAGUAUGGAGUCCCCACUAUAGAAGAGAUAUAGAAAACCUGUACAGAGAUUUGCCAUGAGAGUGUGUCUGGGUCAGUGGGAUCUAAAGCAGGGAAAACUACUGUCAGCAUCUGGCCUUACAAGUCUGGAGACAAGAAGAGUAGUUGCAAGAAUGUGCCACUUGUACAAAAUUUUACAUGACAUGAUAACCCAUGAACCGGUUGAAAGAAGAGAGAUUGUCUACAAUAGCCGCUCCAUUAAUGGGCUCUCUCUGGUACCAAUUAGAUUUCGAACAUCAAUGUAUCAAUACUCAUUCUUCCCACAUGCUGUAACUUAAUUUAUGGAAUAAACUUGUUAGUACGCACAAUAUAGAAGAUAUUGUUACUGUCCGUGUGUUUAAAUAUUUCUGUACACAUUCUUUAGGAUGCACUUUACAUCUAGCUACUAGCUAAUUGUGUAUCUAUAAUUAUGAUGCUGAAUUAUAAAAAAAAAUAACCCAUGCAGUCCAUCCAAGAUGACAUCAGCCAGAGAUUGUGCGACAGGUAUCCCUCUUUAAAAGAUUAGUUUACUGGUUGUUAACUGGAAGCGAGGUGAUUCACCACAAUCGUCCCCAUGCAGAGGAAAAGAACGUACUACAAACCAUAGAGAAAAAUGUGUACCACUGUAAAAUUGAAUCACCAUGGCAGAGAAAUUCGGAGAAAAAGCAGAAGUUAAUACUUGAAAAAAUAUUGGAGGUGACACUAUCUCUAAGUUCAAAAAAGAAAAAAUCAAUGGUUCUGCUUUUUUGGAUAUCAACUCUGACGACUUAUGCAUGUACAGUGUACAUAAUUAUAUAUGGUCAUACAAUUCUAUGAAUAACCAUUUCAAGUCAACAAUCGUUUGAACUCCAGCUUCUUUUAAUACUCAGCUAUUUUUAUCA
Long non-coding RNA from Halichondria panicea, 1736 nucleotides. RefSeq lists it as uncharacterized. NCBI's taxonomy places the organism in Eukaryota, Metazoa, Porifera, Demospongiae, Suberitida, Halichondriidae. The transcript has 3 exons. The record is from RefSeq and is a predicted model, not a curated record.